AUACGUAGGGGGCGAGCGUUGUCCGGAAUGACUGGGCGUAAAGGGCGCGUAGACGGCUGUCUAAGUCUGGAGUGAAAGUCCUGCUUUCAAGGUGGGAAUUGCUUUGGAGACUGGAUGGCUUGAGUGCGGAAGAGGUAAGUGGAAUUCCCAGUGUAGCGGUGAAAUGCGUAGAGAUUGGGAGGAACACCAGUGGCGAAGGCGACUUACUGGGCCUUUACUGACGCUGAGGCACGAAAGCGUGGGGAGCAAACAGGAUUAGAUACCCUGGUAGUCCACGCUGUAAACGAUGAUGACUAGGUGUGGGGGGACUGAACCCUUCCGUGCCGCAGUUAACACAAUAAGUCAUCCACCUGGGGAGUACGGCCGCAAGGUUGAAACUCAAAUGAAUUGACGGGG
Molecule: ribosomal RNA, 396 nt
Filed under: uncultured bacterium
Lineage: Bacteria
Description: partial 16S ribosomal RNA
Rfam family: Bacterial small subunit ribosomal RNA
Source: RNAcentral